AUGCUUCUCACUGCAACAACACCAACCGGCAACUGCAAGCCACCACCAACAUCACGGAAAACAAUCAAAUCCCGCCGCCAAACAGCCAGACACCGUCGAUUCCAUGAUCGCGCCUCCCCUGCUCCAGUCGGACGACGACGAAGCCUCCGCACACAGUCCUCGUCGGUGCAUAUCCCAUCCGCCGCCGAUAACCAAAGAUCCACCUUCUCAACACCUUCCAACCAUCUAAUGAAAACUAAUAAUGGCGACUCUUGA
Vicia faba (fava bean) is the source of this 255-nucleotide non-coding RNA. The record is from the annotation of a GenBank genome assembly. NCBI's taxonomy places the organism in Eukaryota, Viridiplantae, Streptophyta, Magnoliopsida, Fabales, Fabaceae.